AGAAGCAGCUAGAGGUAGAGCUGGAGCCCGAGCCAGCAAAACAGAGCCAGGGCAGGAAUAUGUUUCUAUCUUGGAAAUUCAAACAGCAUUUCACAUUAAAGUAAGAGAAGGGAGAAUUAAAUAUAACUGUGCAGUGCAACCUUUGCUUGUCAGCAACCAACCUCAUUUCUGCGUCCAAAGAGUCCACCUCCAACCUGAAGAAGCAUCUUAAAAGCUCUCCACGGUCUGCAGGAAGGACCGCAGGGCUUGGUCCUCCUCCAGGGUGGAGCAGUCCUCCUCCUCCUCCUGAAUGAUGCCACACUGCAUGCAGCGGAGGCGGGGCUCUCGUUGUCCGGCCCUGCAGACACAAGCUGUGGACAAAGACUGGGGGAACUCCUCCAUCACCAGAGACAGCAGAUGGGCAGGGAGCGUGUCCAUGCUGGUCGCCAUGGUGAACGAAUAGCCGCUCUCCCUCCUACAUGAUCAACGAUGACACAUUUCCGCAGCUUCCAUACCAGUGCACCGGAAAAAUCUCCCAGAAGCUGUUGGCAUGGGAACCUAACGGUGUGAUUUGAGAGGAGGCAGAACGUGAAAAGCUACUCACUUGUAUGGACUGUGAGGAUGACGAAUAAUGGAAGUUACACAAGCUGAGUGAUGCUGGCAUGUUUGAAUAAACAGAAGAGUGUGUAGGCUAUUUAAAGAUAAUGUUUGAGAUGCCACUCAGUUUACAGACACUACACUUUACACAUGCGAUAUCUGACUCCAAACUCAUCGAGAAUGUGAUUCAAAAACAAGAAUAACAGAUGGACGGAAGUUAUUUGUAUUACUAUUUAUUGAUGGUUGGAAACAUGUAAUUUGUUUUUUACAGUUUGUCCUGCUUUCAUCCCCAACAUGUACCCCAGGUAGU
Eleginops maclovinus (Patagonian blennie) is the source of this 886-nucleotide long non-coding RNA. RefSeq lists it as uncharacterized. NCBI's taxonomy places the organism in Eukaryota, Metazoa, Chordata, Actinopteri, Perciformes, Eleginopidae. The transcript is spliced from 3 exons. The record is from RefSeq and is a predicted model, not a curated record.